RNAcentral lists this ribosomal RNA (1521 nucleotides) under uncultured bacterium. RNAcentral's name for it is "16S ribosomal RNA". It matches the Rfam family "Bacterial small subunit ribosomal RNA". The record is from RNAcentral.
AGAGUUUGAUCCUGGCUCAGAACGAACGCUGGCGGCGUGCUUAACACAUGCAAGUCGAACGCGAAAGUUUUCUUCGGAGAGCGAGUAGAGUGGCGCACGGGUGAGUAACGCGUAAGUUAUCUACCUCGGCNNNNNNNNNNNNNNNNNNNNNNNNNNNNNNNNNNNNNNNNUAAUACCGGAUACGUUGAGAAAUCAGGAAAGGAGGCCUCUGCAUAUGCUUCCGUACCAGGAUGAGCUUGCGUACCAUUAGCUAGUUGGCAGGGUAAUGGCCUACCAAGGCGACGAUGGUUAGCGGGUCUGAGAGGAUGAUCCGCCACACUGGAACUGAAACACGGACCAGACUCCUACGGGAGGCAGCAGUGAGGAAUAUUGCGCAAUGGGGGAAACCCUGACGCAGCGACGCCGCGUGGAUGAUGAAGGCCUUCGGGUCGUAAAAUCCUGUCAAGUGGAAAGAAGUGCAUGGUGGCUAAUACCUGCCAUGUUUGACGGUACCACUGAAGGAAGCACCGGCUAACUCCGUGCCAGCAGCCGCGGUAAUACGGAGGGUGCGAGCGUUAAUCGGAAUUACUGGGCGUAAAGGGCGCGUAGGCGGCUGAUCAAGUCAGGUGUGAAAGCCCACGGCUUAACCGUGUGAAGGCAUUUGAUACUGAAAGGCUUGAGUACUGGAGGGGAUGGUGGAAUUCCCGGUGUAGAGGUGAAAUUCGUAAAUAUCGGGAGGAAUACCGGUGGCGAAGGCGACUUUCUGGACGAAUACUGACGCUGAGGCGCGAAAGUGUGGGGAGCAAACAGGAUUAGAUACCCUGGUAGUCCACAGCUGUAAACGAUGUGCACUAGAUGUGGGGAAGUGUUGUCGAUUCAGUGACUAAGCUAACGCAUUAAGUUGACCGCCUGGGGAGUACGGUCGCAAGAUUAAAACUCAAAGGAAUUGACGGGGGCCCGCACAAGCGGUGGAGUAUGUGGUUUAAUUCGACGCAACGCGCAGAACCUUACCUGGUCUUGACAUCCCGGGAAUCUUGUGGAAACACGAGAGGGUGCCUCGCAAGAGGAGCCUGGUGACAGGUACUGCAUGGCUGUCGUCAGCUCGUGUCGUGAGAUGUUGGGUUAAGUCCCGCAACGAGCGCAACCCUUAUCUUUAGUUGCCAUCAUUAAGUUGGGCACUCUAAAGAGACUGCCGGUGUCAAACCGGAGGAAGGUGGGGAUGACGUCAAGUCCUCAUGGCCUUUAUGUCUAGGGCUACACACGUACUACAAUGGCCGGUACAAAGGGCAGCCACUCAGCGAUGAGGCGCCAAUCCCAUAAAGCCGGUCUCAGUCCGGAUCGCAGUCUGCAACUCGACUGCGUGAAGUUGGAAUCGCUAGUAAUCGUGGAUCAGCAUGCCACGGUGAAUACGUUCCCGGGCCUUGUACACACCGCCCGUCACACCACGAGAGUUGGUUGUUCCAGAAGCGGUUGAGCUAACCUUCGGGAAGCAGGCUGCCAAGGAAUGGUCGGUAAUUGGGGUGAAGUCGUAACAAGGUAACC